RNAcentral lists this long non-coding RNA (3163 nucleotides) under Strongylocentrotus purpuratus (purple sea urchin). RNAcentral's name for it is "uncharacterized LOC115923592". The record is from RNAcentral. Lineage: Eukaryota; Metazoa; Echinodermata; Echinoidea; Camarodonta; Strongylocentrotidae.
UUUUGGUUCUGCAUGUGUUGUCGGUAAGAUACCGUCAAAGAAGGAAAGCCUCGCUACAUCUCUGUUAACUCUAGACGUUUGUUGUUUGAGGUCAUUUCCAUGACUGAGGAGUUCCCUGAACUCGAUAGUCUCGAAACUUACCCCAAUUGUUGUUGGAAAAUAAUUAUCAGCGCUGACCUUUCUCUUUCUAAUAAAGUUACGUACAUGUAUAUAUACUUUGGAAUCAAACACUUUUCUCGUAAUGAAUACAUUGGUAUAUUUCGGUUCUGCUUGUGUCGUCGGUACGAUACCGUCAAAGAUAAAAGAAAACCUUGCUUCAUCUCUGUUAAGGAACCGGUCAACAUUUUUUUCAUGUAUCUUAGUGAUAUUUACCACCUCUUCUAAUGAACCGAGCGAUUUGAGCGCACCCCUUUCAGUAAGGUAUAUCGAUAAGAGAGUCCACUUUAAUUCACCAUCUACUCUAUCGAAUUGACGUAAGUGAACGAAUACUUCAUUUGCGUAGGAGAUAACAAAAAGGCCAACCCCUGCUCUAUAAGAUUAUCUGUCUCCUCAGUUUCCCAAUCUGAUAUUUCACUACCUGUGACAUAUCCAUCCAGUAGCUCAACAUCAGAACUGUCCAAACUUUCACAAUCUGACAGUAAAACUUUUUGUAUUUUGCUUUCCCUCUUAGUAAGAAAGAGGAAUGGAUUUUCAUCCUCGCUUGAACUAGUAUCCGAAUCUGACACCAUUAUAAUUGUUCAUAAUACAACACAUGGCGUUUUAAUUCUUCCAAAUACAAUCAUUUAAUACAAAUUUUCUGAUCGGACACAAAAUGGACAUCCUUGAUAGUUAACAUCAAAUCACUCUUCUUUUCGAAGAAGAAUAGAAUAUAUAGAAUAUAUCAUUUAUUGUCUUCUUCCAAAACUAAAGAAGCUUUACUUCAAGGUGAUUCAUAUUACAUAAAAUAACACAACUUAUACAAAAUAUAAAUACAAUCGUAUCAAAAUAUCAAUUGCAUUAAAGGAAUGAAUAAAUAAAAAUACAUUCAUAUAUUACAUAAAACAUUAGGAUAAAGGGAAGAAGACAAAAAAAGGAAGAAAUGAGAAGAUGUAUGAGUCAGUGAUAUAUUCUGUAUGCAGUAAGUUAGGAGCUCUUAACAGUUUAUCCAUGGUGUCUCCGAUGCCAUCAUCUUGGCUACAUCUCUUAGCUCUGGAUAUAUGCUUUAGUAUAUCAUGAGCGAUGAGUUUCCUGAACUCGAUUGUCUCGAAACUGACACCUAUUGUUGUUGAAAAAUAAUUAUCAGCGCUGACGUUUCUCUUUCUAAUUAAGUUACGUAUAUGUACAUAUACUUUGGAAUCAAACACUGUACUCGUAAUGAAUACCUUGGUGUAUUUUGGUUCUGUGUGUGUUGUCGGUAAGAUACCGUCAAAGAUGGAAAGCCUCGCUACAUCUCUGUAAAGGAACCGGUCAACAUUUUUUUCAUGUAUCUUAGUGAUAUCUCCCACCUCUUCUAAUGAACCGAGCAAUUUGAGCGCACCCCUUUCAGUAAGGAAUAUCGAUGAAGGAGUCAACUUUACUUUCCCAUCUACUCUAUCGAAUUGACGCAAGUGAACGAAUACUUCAUUUGCGUAGGAGAUAACAAAAAGGCCAACCCCUGCUCUAUAAGAUUAUCUGUCUCCUCAGUUUCCCAAUCUGAUAUUUCACUACCUGUGACAUAUCCACCCAGUAGCUCAACAUCAGAACUUUUCAAACUCUCACAAUCCGACAGUCAAACUUUUUGUUAUUGCUUUUCAUCUUGGUAAGAAAGAUGAAUGGAUUUUCAUCCUCGCUUGAACUAGUAUCCGAAUCUGACACCAUUAUAAUUGUCUGUUUUUGUUUUCUGAUGUUAACAAACUCAUCCAUCUUUAGAGUAUGGAGUCCAUGUUUUGGGGCUUCCUUUACCCCAUUUCUGCGUAGGGCUAGAGUGACCAUUUCUUUCUGAUCGAAACGAGACAAACAAGCAAGGUUGGAUAUUAACAUCCCACCCUUCCACCUACCACCUGGUUACUUCCUCUCUUUUAAACCGAGCAAUUUGAGUGCACCCCUUUCAGUAAGGUAUAUCGAUGAAGGAGUCGAGAAAGAUGAAUGGAUUUUCAUCCUCGCUUGAACUAGUAUCCGAAUCUGACGCCAUUGUAAUUGUCCGUUUUUGUUUUCUGAUGUUUACAAACUCAUGCCCACGUCUUCUACGGAACUGACCAAGAAAGUCUAGAUCUCCAAAUAUCGAUUCCGAUACUAGAUUAGUGAGUUUGCAGCUCUUCAUUCGUGAUCUUAUUUCCUCACUUGGCCUUUCACCGAACUUUCCUCCGGGCAGAAAGUCAUUUUUUCACUUUAAAAGCUGAAAAUGUUAGGCUCUGCCCUAAUCCCAACCUGCCUUCUCAUGGGCCAGUACCAUUUUGCCUACUUGGAGACGUUUUUUAGGGUCAAUAUAGUGCAUCCUCUAACAGACUUAAAGUAUGGAGGUAGAUUGGCAAAGUGAACCCCUGCCAUCCUCCUUGUAAAACUUACAUGGGGCUCUAAUGUGCUGGGAAUGUUGCCUGAAGUUUGUCUGGACAGUAGGGAGGAAUUCUCUUAGCAAAUUAUUCAGUUGGUCUACCCUAGAAUUAUAAAUAUCAAUGUGGACGUCAUGUUUGUGAGCUCUAGUCUUUUUACGGGGAAGUAACUCCGUGAACGUGAUAUGGGCUUGUGGGUUCAGGUACCUAACACUGUCUAUUAGGUGAUGGAUGUCUCUCAUAACCUUGUCAGGGGCGAGUGUGGGGCAGAGAUGUCAUUGCCUCCAAUUUGGAAAAUGACACACUGGUACUUAAAAAUUGAUAAAGAAUGCAAUCUGUUAAUGAGGGAACCUACCGUUGCUCCAGGGAACCUGUGAAUCUCGAUAUUGUCUUUUGCUAGAUUAAGGUUGGGUGAGUACUGGCAAAGGUCUCGUAUGAGGCUGUGUCCCGUGAAUCUCAAUAUUGUCUUUUGCUAGAUUAAGGUUGGGCAAGUACUGGCCGAGGUCCCGUAUGAGGCUGUGUCCCGUGAAUCUCGAUAUUGUCUUUUGCUAGAUUAAGGUUGAAUGAGUACUGGCCGAGGUCCCGUAUGAGGCUGUGUCCCAUGAUUAAGGUAUUUAUCUUGAGGACAAAAUUAUGAAUCCAGUGAUCUUAUACAC